UACAGAGGGUGCGAGCGUUAAUCGGAAUUACUGGGCGUAAAGCGUGCGUAGACGGUUAUUUAAGUCGGAUGUGAAAGCCCCGGGCUCAACCUGGGAAUUGCAUUCGAGACUGAAUAGCUAGGGUACGGUAGAGGGAAGCGGAAUUUCCGGUGUAGCGGUGAAAUGCGUAGAUAUCGGAAGGAACGCCGGUGGCGAAAGCGGCACACUGGAUCUCAACUGACGCUGAGGCACGAAAGCCAGGGGAGCGAACGGG
Molecule: ribosomal RNA, 253 nt
Filed under: uncultured bacterium
Lineage: Bacteria
Description: partial 16S ribosomal RNA
Rfam family: Bacterial small subunit ribosomal RNA
Source: RNAcentral